GACGAACGCUGGCGGCGUGCUUAACACAUGCAAGUCGAACGCUGAAGCUUGGUGCUUGCACUGGGUGAUGAGUGGCGAACGGGUGAGUAAUAAGUGAGUAACCUGCCCUUGACUCUGGGAUAAGCCUGGGAAACUGGGUCUAAUACUGGAUACGACAUGUCACCGCAUGGUGGUGUGUGGAAAGGGUUUUACUGGUUUUGGAUGGGCUCACGGCCUAUCAGCUUGUUGGUGGGGUAAUGGCUCACCAAGGCGACGACGGGUAGCCGGCCUGAGAGGGUGACCGGCCACACUGGGACUGAGACACGGCCCAGACUCCUACGGGAGGCAGCAGUGGGGAAUAUUGCACAAUGGGCGGAAGCCUGAUGCAGCGACGCCGCGUGAGGGAUGACGGCCUUCGGGUUGUAAACCUCUUUCAGCACGGAAGAAGCGAAAGUGACGGUACGUGCAGAAGAAGCGCCGGCUAACUACGUG
RNAcentral lists this ribosomal RNA (471 nucleotides) under uncultured bacterium. RNAcentral describes it as "partial 16S ribosomal RNA". It matches the Rfam family "Bacterial small subunit ribosomal RNA", at positions 28 to 507 of the family's 1533-position model. The record is from RNAcentral.